GGCACUGAUAUUUCCUCUUCCUAUAACCUUGUUUUGUGCUAGUUUCACUUUUAACUUCUUUCUCAAAAAAAACUCCUGUUCCUAAAGGCUAGAAUGGCAUACUCAAAGGUAAUCGUUGCUCUGAUGUUGGCUUUGGUGGUUGGAUCUGCAUUUGCUCAGGCACCAGGAUCAUCUCCGGCAGCUUCUCCGAAGAGUUCUCCACCACCGGUAACAUCGUCACCUCCGGUGGCGACUCCUCCAUCUGCAGUAACACCUGUCUCUGCUCCUGCAAAUGCUCCUACUACUGCUUCUUCUCCAUCUGAAUCUCCAUUGGCAUCUCCUCCAGCUCCACCAACUGUCGAUACUCCGGCAUCAUCUCCUUCCGGUGGUGCUGCUCCUCCAUCCAUCGGUGCGGCUCCCAGCGGUUCUCCUACCUCAUCUCCCAACUCUGCUUCCUUGAACAGAGUCGCCGUCGCCGGAUCUGCUGUUGUAGCUAUUUUUGCUGCUACUUUCAUGCUUUAAUUAUCUGAUCUGUGAGAUAUUUUUUGUUUUAUUUUGCCGGAGCCGUCGACUUUUAUAGGCGGCGGUAGUCGUGGCCGCUGUUGAUUCUUUCUUACUACUACUACUAUUUGUUAUUGAUUAUUACUGGAUUCUUUGUUUAUUUUAUGGAGAGAUGUAUUCAUCAACUAGUUAAUAAUUUGUUCUGUUGAAGAGCAUUCAUAUUUUAUUUAAUUGGAACAUUCCGUUUCUAUAAUUUCAAAAACAAGUUUUACAACUCCGAAAAUAUUACAAUUCCUUUUAAAACUUGGUAUAAAGCAAAGUCAUGUUUACUGCAAAAUCAAAAAGGACAAGACAGUCAACACGCAUAAAAAUUACUUCCUCUGUAGCUAAUUUACGUGUUAUAAUUUGACUUUUAUGCGUUGAGUUUGACCUAUUGGAGAGUAUAUAAAAAAAAAAGACUUUUGGUUUGUAGUCUAAACAUAUCGUAAAUACUUGUGUACAUAUAAAUAAUUUUAUUGAGAAUAAAAUAAAAAGUCUAAAGAUAAAUAUAUAUAAAUACAAAAAUAUAAUUAUUUUUUACGACAAAUUGUACUACAUAAAUUAGGAUGCUGGAAGUAAUAAAGUAGUUGGAGUAACUCAUAUGUGGAAAUAGCUGGACAAAAGAAACCGGGAUACUUAAAGAAAUUCUUAUACAAUAUUUGAAACUUAUCUAUCAAAAUUGUCCUAAUUUUGUAUAUUAACUGUCAUAAACAAGAUUUGUUUACAAUUUAUAUAUACAAUCCUUUAUUAGUGUCUUAAAUUAGGGGAUUAAGUUACACCAUUUUCCUUCUUUUUUUCUCUCCUCUUCUCUUCCUCUAUUCUCUGCAUCUCUCUCCAUGUAUAAUUCAUUAUUAGUGCCUUAAAUUAGGAGAUUUUGUCAUCCGAGUUUAUAAUCCAAAAAUAUUCAGUUGUGAUCACAAGCAAAUUAAAACGAUCCAAUGGUUCUCAAAAGUCACAAACACAAAUUUAAUGGGAUAUAGCGUAGCUUCUUCAAAGCAAAAAUCAUGAAGCCGUUAAUAAUUCUAAUUAGGUCUGAGUCCGACAAUAAAGAACUAACUCAUGCACUGAAAUUGAAUUUUCUUUUUCUGAUAUUAUUAAACUGAUAUUCGGAAGAUUUUAUUUUACAUAGUCACGUUGAUUCCUGCACAAGCAAAAAUGUUUUCUUGUGCUGUCAAUUGUUGACUUGUCUUGCACGAGAACUACAUCAAAUAUUCACAUAAAAGCUUUACAAAUUACCUAACUACUUCCUUUCUCUUUAAGCACACGAGGCCUUCCAAUAAUGUCAAAAUACCUAUACCUUGACUACUCAAUAUUUGUUAAUUCAAGAUAACCUUUGCUAUGUUUUGAAUCCAGUUUGAGUUCAUGAAUUUAUUUCGUAUUAUUCUUUAGACUAAUGAUGUUCAUAUAUAGAGUUUAGAGCAAAGUAAAAAUGUCGAUGGGGAAGAACAAUUAAAUACAUAGUAUACAUCUUAUUUACAACUUAUCUAUAACUUUCAUACAUUAUUUUAACCCAAUUAAAUAAAACUACAACAUCAUACAACUAAUUUAAUAUAAUUUUCAUAUAAAUUUUAUACAAUAUGUCUUUUGUACGUAUUUUUUUAUAUGAUUUGUAUAUAUUUUGUAUGUGGUGUGUUCUUCUUCUUCUUCUCUAAAAUUCUAAUUAAAUAUAAUUUAUAUACAACCAUAAUAUAAUUUUAAUACAAUGGCCGAAAUAUGAGAUUUUAGGCAAUGCUAUGAUACAUGUUGCUUCCAAGAGCUGAAAUCAACUGGUGCCUCUUAUGCCUGGAACAACAAGGAAAGUGGAGAAGAUAAAGUACUUAGCAAAAUAGACAGAGUAUUGGUAAACAUGGAUUAGUUAUCACAGUUGCCACAUUCUAUGGUUCACUAUAUGAUUGAGGGAUGUUUGACCAUAGCCCAGCUAUGAUUAAUUGAGAGAAUGGAAACCAGAUGAUUACUAGACCAUUCAAGUACUUUAACAAGUGGAGUAUGAAUCCUGAAUUCAAGAAAAAAAUGGGGGAUAGCUGGAUUACUGAAAUUAGAGGAACCAAAAUGUGUCAGCUAGUGAAAAAACUAAACAGGCUGAAGAAAGUACUCAAACGGCUGAACAGAACUAAAUUUAGCAACAUAGAAUUGAAAGCAGAACAAGCUAAGGAAGAGCAAGAGGAGUGUCAGAAGCAUAUUCAACAAAAUUCCAUCAAUAAUAGUCUCAUUAACAAGGAGCAGGAAUUGGCAAAUAAGUAUAAUAGAUUAAAGAAAGCAAGUGACCAGUUCUUAAGGCAAAAAAGCAAAGUACAGUGGCUGAAACAAGGGGAUCAGAAUUAACAACAGAUACUUUCAUAGUUAUAUGAAGGCUAGAAGGAUUGCCAACAGAAUCUUCUCAAUAAAGGACUCUAAUAGCAGCAUGGUUACCAAUAUGGAAGGGGAUAACAAGGGCAUUGUGGACUUUUAUACAGAGUUGUUAGGGUCCACUAAAGAAGAUAGAACACAUGUAUGCAACAAUCUGGUGAGAAAAGGCCCAAUAGUGACAGAGGAACAUGUUAAUUGAAGAAUUCACUGAGAACGAGGUCAAACAAGCAUUAUGAAAAAUUGAUGGAGAAAAAUCUCUAGGUCCCGAUGGAUAUGGUAAUAAAUUCUUUAAAGAUACUUGGAACAUAAUCAAUAAAGACCUUAAGGAAGGAGUACUAUAGUUUUUACAUCAGGGAAGAUGCUAAAGGUAAUCAACAAUACAGUAAUCAUAGUAAUUCCUAAGAGCAGCCAUGCAGAAGUAGUUGGGGUCUAUAGACCCAUUGCUUGCUGCAAUAUAGUAUAUAAGAUCAUAUCCAAAAUGCUUUGUAAUAGGGUUAAAACUAUCCUGCCAAACAUUAUUUCUGAAAAUCAGAGUGCCUUUGUAACUAGUAGAAUAAUCAUGCAGAACAUAUUGAUUUGCCAAGACCUAGUCAUGUUAUAUAAUAGGAAAGCAGCAACCAAGAGCUGCUUGAUUAAAAUAGAUCUUAAGAAGGACUAUGACUCCAUAGAAUGACACUUUGUGGAAGAAAUAUUACAUGCACUCAAUUUCCCUAUGAAGUUCAUAAGGUGGGUUAUCAAAUGCAUAUCAACUCCUCGUAAUAAUGUGGCCAUAAAUGGAGGGUUAUAUGGGAACAUAAAAGGGAAGAGAGGCCUAAGGCAAGGGGACCCCAUAUCUCCUCUACUGUUUGUAAUAUGUAUGGAAUAUUUAACUAGAAUAUUGAAGCUAGAGUCACAACAAGAGUGCUUUGGUUAUCAUUCCAAAUGUAGAAGUUUGCAGCUCAAUCAUCUAUGUUUUGCAGAUGAUGUGCUCCUUUUUUGCAAAGGAGAGUUCCACUCUGUGAUACUGAUGCUGAGAGGCCUUUAGAUAUUCUCUAGCUCUUCAGGGCUAACAAACAAUGCAGGCAAGUCUAACAUAUUUGCUGUGAAUAUGGAGAUACAAGAGAUAGAGGAUUCGUGUGAAGUAACAAGAUACAGUAGAGGCAGACUCCCCUUCAAGUACUUAGGUGUUCCAAUAUCAUCUAAGAAACUAUCGAAAAUGGACUGUCAAGUGCUACUAGACAAGCUAACUACCAGAAUAAGGAGUUGGGUUCAAAGAACUUAUCCUAUGUUGGGAGAGUGCAAAUGAUCAAUGCAGUGCUAAUGCAUAUACACACAUAUUGGGCAUCGAUUUUCGUACUCCCCAAAGCAGUACUCAAAAGUAUUAUAGCAAUUUGUCGCAAUUAUCUCUGGGAUAGUAAGGUGGAAACAACUAGGGUACCACUAGUAGCAUGGGACCUCAUUUGUCGACCAAAAUAAGAGGGAGAGAUUGAGAUAAAGGAUUGUGUGGUAUGGAAUGAGGCAUCCAUAGGGAAGUAUGUAUGAGACAUAACUCAAAAUACUGACUUUUUGUGGGUCAAAUGGAUCAACCAUAUCUACCUAAAAAAUAUAAAUUGGUGGCAAUACAAUAUACCAUAAGACAACAGUUGGUAUUGGAAGAAAAUAUGCCACAUAAGAGACAAACUUGCAGGUGGUUAUGUUCAUGAAGGAUGUCAAUCACAAGCAAGGAAAUAUACAAUCCAAAAAGGCUACUCCUGAUUGAAGGGGAACCUGGACACAUGCCAAUGGGGAAGACGGGUCUGAAACAAGCAAAACAUUCCAAAACACAACUUUAUUUGCUGGUUGACUAUGCAGAAGAAGUUGCUCACAAAGGAUAGGCUAGUUCUCAGAGGAAUUAGCUCAGAUGGCCUAUGUGUACUAUGUGAAAAUGUACCAAAAUCUAUUAAACACUUAUUCUAUGAGUGUCACUUCUCCAAGUUAUGCACCACUGAAGUACUUCAGUGGCUAAAGAUAAGGAUCACAAAUUUUGAAGGACAACACCUAUGGAAAAGAGUAGCCAGGAAAAUGGGAAGCAAAUUGAGCAGGGAGUUCUCAUGUGUAGUAUUGGCAGCAAUGAAUUAUCACAUCUGGAAGGGGAGGAAUGAAGCCCUGUGGCAGAGUUUAGUUCCUAGACCACAUAGAGUAUGUGACCAAAUUAAAAAAGAAUGCAGAGUUCGAGUGUUGGAGAUACUCAACAAACGGAAAAAGGGACUAGGAUAGGAGAUGGCUGGAAGAAGUAUAUAGAUAGAUAGUAGAUAUGCAGGACCAAUACUUGUACAUAUCUGUCAUGUCAUCUUCUUCUUCUUCUUCUUCUUCUUCUUCUUCUUCUUCUUCGAGUUUUAAUUUGAAAUUUAGCCAAAAUCAAGUCUAAUAUUCACCAAACACCCUCAAAAUUGAUAUAUAAACUUCAAAGAAUAUUUUUAAUUGUUUACAACAACACCCAAUCCAAACAAACAAUAGUUUUUGAAUACCCAAAUUCGAAUUCAAAGCUUCGGAGUUUUUUAAUGGUUGUCAAUGGUGGAGAAUCAAAUACCUUCAAAGUUUAUUGAUUGACAAUCUCAAUUCAAACACCAAUUGUGCAACAUGGAAGAGAAUUGCUAAGUUAAAACUCCAUUGAUGAAUUUUUUUUUAAAAAAAAAGGAUAAAAAGAAGAGAAAAACGAAGGAAGAAAACUAGAGAAAGAACAGAAAAGGAGAGAGAGAGAGAGAAAGAGAGAGGGAGUGAGAGAGAAAGUAGGGAUAUAGAUUCUCUAUUCAAUUUCUAAUAUAAAGGGAUACUCAUUGAUAUUAAUUUAUAUAUAAUUGGUAAAUUAUAUAUACACAUGUAAUUAAGUUAAAACUUGAUUAGGAAGAGUAAUAAAGUUUCAUAUGUAAUAUAGGAAGGUAAAAACCCAUACUAACUGAUAUUUGAAAAUUGCAAAAUUCGCCACUUGCGAGCAGCAUGACCAGGAGCUCACGAAGCUCCCUAAAUGCGAAUUCAGUAUUUGAAAUUUAUAGAUUCUGAAGUUUAUUAUAUAUGCAUGUUCAAUAAAUUUCUAAACAAAUAUAUAGCGUUCAAAUCAAAUUUCUAGGUUGUGCCGAGCCCGUAUGUUCCGUGUUAGCUCUAUGCCGGGAAGCUCAUGUCUCUAUACAGUACUCCUCCCUACUAACGAGACUAAAACGUGCCAAUCAUAACGGUAACCAUAAUGUUUGCUAAAUUGUGCUAGUAAUAAUACAAUGAUCCAACAGUCAUUUCAUAGGUUGUUUUUGAUAAAUUUUUCGCAAAAUAUUUUGAAAAAAGCUUCUUCGAAUUCUUUAUAAGAAAUUCCCUCAAAUCAAAAAAAAAAAAAAACAAAGAAAAAUUCAAACAAAAGUUUUCCAGAGAAAUUUAGUUCUUCACACGGAAAGAAAAAUGUUUACCAGCUUGGACUGAGUCACAUCCCCCUCUCUUUCUUCUGUCGUUGAGUUGUCCACUAAUUACGUAGCUUAUUUUAAAUCAAAUUUCCCAAACUAACUCAGUAAUAAAAUUAGAAAUUUCCCUCCUAUAUAUACACUCUUUUCCUAUCCUUUCUUCCAAACGGUACUCAACAACACUCAUAUUUUCUCUUCCUUUUGUGCAUAUAUAUUCCACUUUUCUUAUUUCUUCAAAGUUUUCUCGUCCUAAAGGUUAGAAUGGCAUACUCAAAAGUGAUCAUUGCUUUAAUGUUCGCAUUAGUAGCUGGAUCUGCUUUCUCUCAGGCACCAGGAGCAUCUCCAGCAGCUUCUCCGAAGAGUUCUCCACCGCCGGCGGCGACUCCUCCUCCUCCUACAUCAACACCUGUCUCCGCUCCUACUACUGCAUCUUCUCCAUCAGAAUCUCCACCAACUGUAGAUACUCCGGCAUCAUCUCCUUCUGGCGCUUCUCCUCCAUCUAUCGCCGCCGCUCCCGGUGGUUCUCCUACUUCCUCUCCUAACUCUGCUUCCUUGAACAGAGUCGCCGUUGCAGCAUCUGCUGUUGUAGCUGUCUUUGCUGCUUCUUUGAUUCUUUAAAUCUCUGAUUUGUGAGAUAUUUUGUGUUUUCAUUCGCCGGAGUUGAUGAGUUAGGAUUUAUUUAUAGCUUAUUUUCACUGUUUUUUUUUCUUUUUCUUUUGGACUUUUACGGGCGCCGGUAGUCGUGACCGCUGUUGAUAUAGUGAAUAUUUGUUUAUUUUUCGUUUUGUAAAUUAGUUGAGAAUUUUCAAAUUUAUGGUGCUUCUCAAUUCCUACGUACAUUAUGAUAUAGGAGCCCGUAAUCCACUUACUUCACUUAAAAUAAUAGUAUCUUGUAAGUACACAAAAUUACAAAAAUGAUAAAAGUAGAAAGAAAGAACGUGGCAAAACAAAGCAAAAAAUAAAGAAAGAAAAAAGGAAAUUCAAGUGGACCAAUUUUUUUCUUUGGCCAGGCAAGGAGUGCAAUUGAAGUAUGCAUGCAGGUUGAGCAAUUCUUUUUUCCUUUUUCUUUUGGAAAAUUUUCGGGGAAACUCGAUGUCUUUAUUAUUCAGGUGCGCAUUAGUAAUCUGUUUACUGUGUAAUAGCUAUCGCAAAUCAUACUGGAGAGUAAAACCGCACUAGACAAGCUCGAUGCGUAGAGAUCUGACUAAAGAGGUUAUUGAUAAGGGGAAUCAAUCCUAAAUCUUCCAUGUGAGAACCUAACCCUUGCAAGCUGGUUGAGGAAUUUUGCUAUUGAAUUUUUUCGAGUUUCCUUACCCUUAAAGAUCUGAAUCUUGUAUUGCAAUCUUCAAUCACUCUGGCAAAUGGCAAUUCACAAAGACACAUCUCUAUUGCUUCCAAGCCAUUCCCGGGUUCACUACAUUAGGGUAGUUAGUAAAUUAAAUAUUAAGUUUCUGAGACUGCCAAGGCACACAGGGGNNNNNNNNNNNNNNNNNNNNNNNNNAUAUAUAUAAAAUUAAUUACCAUGGUAGAGUAUUCAAUUGAACUCUUUCAUUAAAGGUAGUUACGCAUCUGAUUGAGUUCCUAAUCUCCUUUAUCCUUAUUUAGUUGCAACAUUUUCAAAUUUUAAAAAAUUAAAAGAAAUAUUCCUUGCAUAACAAAAUAAAUAUUUUUCAAAAGGCUGGCAAUCAAGAUUACAAUUUACAAUCUAUUUUUUCCUAUUUAAUAGAGUUCAACAGUUGAAAAGUUUUACAAAUUACAUGUAUAUCUAAUUUGGAAAAGCAAAGCUCUAAUGACCCCACAAGCACAAGAAUUCUCAAGAGCCUCACCAACUCUCUCCCCUUCUUCUAAUUCAAGAACUUAAAUUACAUUUUAGAAAAGGUUACCCCGAUAAUUAAAUUCAAUAAACAACAAGAAUUUAUACAGCACAUGAAUCCAUGUUCUGUAGUUUCCCGUUGGAGGUCAUCAUUUGUGAGAGAAAGAGUAGAAGGCAAGAUUGUCGAGAAAGAGUCUUGCUUUCUAUGUCCAUACGCAAAAAAUAGAUUUUACUUGGUAAUUAUAUACAUAAAAUAUUAAAUUAAUAAGUGCAUGAUAUGUAUUUAUAUAUAAAAUUUUAAUUGCUUAUGCGUGAUUAAGUAAAGUAUAUUUUCAUCUCUUUUUUUUGCUAAUUAUUAUAAAUUUAUAUACUAAUUUAAAAUAAACGUUAGAUGCAAAUGAGUACUUUCCAACCUCUUAACACCCAGCCCCUGCUUCUUAGGUGGCCAAAACAGAAACGAAUUUUAUAAUCCAGCUAGCUAGACCAGAACGUGCCAAUUAUAACGGUAACCAUAAUGUUUGCUAAUAAUAAUUUUAUAUAUAAAGAGAGAACAGUCAUUAAAAUGCUCGGAAAAAAAAAAAAUCAGUCCUUAGCUUAUUUUAGGAAAAGUAUUUUAAAGAAUUUUUUUUUGUAAUUUUUAUGACGAAUUAUUUCAAAUAAAAAAUGCACAAAGAAACACAGUCAAAACAAAACAUAAUUCUAGAAAUUUAUCUCUUGACGCGGAAAGAAAAAUGUAACCAGGUGGACUCAAUCACCGUCCCGUCCUUCUUCGGUUGUUGAGUUGUCAACAAAUUAUUAGUCCACUAUUUUAUUCAACUUUUCUAAACCGACUUACUAACAUAAAAUUUUAAAAUUUCCGCAUAUUUUCCUCCUAUAUAUACACUGCUUUUCCUUGUCAAUUCCUCCAAACCGAACUCAACACUUUCAUAUUUUCUCUUCCUAUACCUGUUUGUGCUUGUUCCUCUUUUCUUCUUCCAAAAAGCUCCUUAUUCUAAAGGCUAGAAUGGCGUACUCAAAGAUGAUCAUUGCUUUAAUGUUGGCCUUAGUGGCUGGAUCUGCUUUUGCUCAGGCACCGGGAUCAUCUCCGGCAGCUUCUCCGAAGAGUUCUCCGCCACCAGUAUCAUCACCUCCGGCGGCGACUCCUCAACCUUCUAC
Molecule: long non-coding RNA, 9237 nt
Filed under: Nicotiana tabacum (common tobacco)
Lineage: Eukaryota; Viridiplantae; Streptophyta; Magnoliopsida; Solanales; Solanaceae
Description: long non-coding RNA (NTAB_LNC008481)
Source: RNAcentral